RNAcentral lists this ribosomal RNA (443 nucleotides) under uncultured bacterium. Its description in RNAcentral is "partial 16S ribosomal RNA". It matches the Rfam family "Bacterial small subunit ribosomal RNA", at positions 338 to 795 of the family's 1533-position model. The record is from RNAcentral.
CCUACGGGAGGCAGCAGUGGGGAAUAUUGGGCAAUGGGCGCAAGCCUGACCCAGCAACGCCGCGUGAAGGAAGAAGGCUUUCGGGUUGUAAACUUCUUUUCUCAGGGACGAAGCAAGUGACGGUACCUGAGGAAUAAGCCACGGCUAACUACGUGCCAGCAGCCGCGGGAAUACGUAGGCGGCAAGCGUUAUCCGGAUUUACUGGGUGUAAAGGGCGUGUAGGCGGGAAAGCAAGUCAGAUGUGAAAACCAUGGGCUCAACCUGUGGCCUGCAUUUGAAACUGUUUUUCUUGAGUACUGGAGAGGCAGACGGAAUUCCUAGUGUAGCGGUGAAAUGCGUAGAUAUUAGGAGGAACACCAGUGGCGAAGGCGGUCUGCUGGACAGCAACUGACGCUGAGGCGCGAAAGCGUGGGGAGCAAACAGGAUUAGAUACCCGGGUAGUC